RNAcentral lists this ribosomal RNA (506 nucleotides) under Mesosa myops. RNAcentral describes it as "partial 16S ribosomal RNA". The stretch from base 384 to 506 matches the Rfam family "Bacterial large subunit ribosomal RNA", at positions 2473 to 2596 of the family's 2925-position model. Lineage: Eukaryota; Metazoa; Arthropoda; Insecta; Coleoptera; Cerambycidae. The record is from RNAcentral.
GUCCUUUUGAAUAUAAUUUAAGGUCUGACCUGCCCACUGAAUAAUUAAAUGGCCGCGGUAAUUUGACCGUGCUAAGGUAGCAUAAUCAUUAGUUUUUUGAUUGAAAGCUGGAAUGAAGGGUUGGAUGAGAAAAUAUCUGUUUCUAUUUAAUUUUAAUUGAAUUUUAUUUUUAAGUUAAAAAGCUUAAAUUUUAUUAAAAGACGAGAAGACCCUUUAGAGUUUUAUAUAAAAUUUAAUUUAAUAUAUUAGUAAUAUAAGUAUGAAUUAAUUUUUAUAAUUAAUUGGGGUGAUUGAAAAAUUUAAUUAACUUUUUUUAUAUUUUAAACAUUGAUUUAUGAUUUUUUGAUCCAUAUAUUUUGAUUAUAAGAUUAAAUUACCUAAGGGAUAACAGCGUAAUUUUUUUUGAGAGUUCUAAUCGAUAAAAAAGAUUGCGACCUCGAUGUUGGAUUAAAAUUUAUUUUUGGUGUAGGAGCUAAAAAAUUAGGUCUGUUCGACCUUUAAAAUUU